AAUCAAAGAAGGUAAUAAUCCUGUAGUCGAAAAUGUUGUCUCUCUUGAGUGGAUCCUGAGUACGACGGAGCACGUGAAAUUCCGUCGGAAUCUGGGAGGACCAUCUCCUAAGGCUAAAUACUCUCUAGUGACCGAUAGUGAACCAGUACCGUGAGGGAAAGGUGAAAAGCACCCCGGAAGGGGAGUGAAAUAGAACCUGAAACCGUGUGCUUACAAGUAGUCAGAGCCCGUUAAUGGGUGAUGGCGUGCCUUUUGUAGAAUGAACCGGCGAGUUACGAUUUGAUGCAAGGUUAAGCAGUAAAUGUGGAGCCGUAGCGAAAGCGAGUCUGAAUAGGGCGUUUAGUAUUUGGUCGUAGACCCGAAACCAGGUGAUCUACCCUUGGUCAGGUUGAAGUUCAGGUAACACUGAAUGGAGGACCGAACCGACUUACGUUGAAAAGUGAGCGGAUGAACUGAGGGUAGCGGAGAAAUUCCAAUCGAACCUGGAGAUAGCUGGUUCUCUCCGAAAUAGCUUUAGGGCUAGCCUCAAGUGAUGAUUAUUGGAGGUAGAGCACUGUUUGGACGAGGGGCCCCUCUCGG
RNAcentral lists this ribosomal RNA (579 nucleotides) under Staphylococcus aureus. RNAcentral describes it as "partial 23S ribosomal RNA". It matches the Rfam family "Bacterial large subunit ribosomal RNA", at positions 353 to 935 of the family's 2925-position model. Lineage: Bacteria; Bacillati; Bacillota; Bacilli; Caryophanales; Staphylococcaceae. The record is from RNAcentral.